UGCAGUCGAGCGAACAGAUGAGAAGCUUGCUUCUCUGAUGUUAGCGGCGGACGGGUGAGUAACACGUGGGUAACCUACCUAUAAGACUGGGAUAACUCCGGGAAACCGGGGCUAAUACCUGAUAAUAUUUUGAACCGCAUGGUUCGAUAGUGAAAGGCGGCUUCGGCUGUCACUUAUAGAUGGACCCGCGCCGUAUUAGCUAGUUGGUAAGGUAAUGGCUUACCAAGGCGACGAUACGUAGCCGACCUGAGAGGGUGAUCGGCCACACUGGAACUGAGACACGGUCCAGACUCCUACGGGAGGCAGCAGUAGGGAAUCUUCCGCAAUGGGCGAAAGCCUGACGGAGCAACGCCGCGUGAGUGAUGAAGGUUUUCGGAUCGUAAAACUCUGUUGUUAGGGAAGAACAAAUUUGUUAGUAACUGAACAAGUCUUGACGGUACCUAACCAGAAAGCCACGGCUAACUACGUGCCAGCAGCCGCGGUAAUACGUAGGUGGCAAGCGUUAUCCGGAAUUAUUGGGCGUAAAGCGCGCGUAGGCGGUUUCUUAAGUCUGAUGUGAAAGCCCACGGCUCAACCGUGGAGGGUCAUUGGAAACUGGGGAACUUGAGUGCAGAAGAGGAGAGUGGAAUUCCAUGUGUAGCGGUGAAAUGCGCAGAGAUAUGGAGGAACACCAGUGGCGAAGGCGGCUCUCUGGUCUGUAACUGACGCUGAUGUGCG
Molecule: ribosomal RNA, 717 nt
Filed under: Staphylococcus sp. X43-CRBM-E14
Lineage: Bacteria; Bacillati; Bacillota; Bacilli; Caryophanales; Staphylococcaceae
Also listed under: 3 other names
Description: bacterial SSU rRNA
Rfam family: Bacterial small subunit ribosomal RNA
Source: RNAcentral